ACGUUCGGUCACGCCAGUCUCUCGCCGACGCCGCGUGAAUCCGUACGAGCAUCGAGCUUCUGUCACGAUGACAGCGCCACCGGUUCGGGAGGCUCUUACCUUUUACAAUGGAGGAUAUUUUUCUUGACAUUAAACUUGAUUAUUUUCUGAUGAAAUGUCAAUGAUACUUUUUUGUAACUAGUAUAUGGGAAUUAGUGUUUUUCAACAUCUUUAGGAUAAAUAGUAUUCAGUAACUCAUACUAUUGUCUCAAUACAACAAAACUAGCAUUCGUUCUCUAAACAAGUUCAAGAAAAAUAUCUAUUCUCCGAGCAUUAAAACGGUUACACUUCCUCCGCCGUAGUAACCAUCCAGCCUGGAAAAUAAUGUGAGAAUGGACAUAAUACGCUACUUCUGCUCUGCCCCCUGCAUUCGCAUGGCGGCCGCCGGUCUUGAGGUGCGCGAGGCUGGACGAGCGCUGCGGGUACAAACGGAAGCGCCGCAUCUCGUUUCCAUGGGAAGCGGUCGUUUGUCAACGGCGGUGACCCUGCAUCCUUUGCCCGAAGGUAUGGUACAGUGCAAUUACGCGAGCCGAAGGCAGUGCCUGCCGCACGGAUUCUUUUGUGACUCGGCUAAUUGGAAUUAGAGACGCUAUAGUAACACGGAAAUCAUUCGCGUGCCUUCGCGUUGUAACAAAGGGAUGUUCAACGCAGGGGUCACGUGAUUUGCUGAACCGUUCAGCUGACACCGGGACUACCGAAUCGGACGAAGUUUCUUGUGCGGCGAGGUUAGGUUUGCGGUAGAAUUACCGGGUGGAUUGAAAUGACCAAUUUCACGUGCCUUUUACAAUGAUUGCAACGGCGCAGACAGUUUUUUAAGAAAUGGUUGAAGACAGGGAUUUCAAAGUGAUGUGCGUGUUAAAUGUAAAUGUGUGAUGAAGGGAAUAUGAAGUUUGUUGAUUUUGGUUGUAGGUUGUUGA
This is a non-coding RNA of Nomia melanderi (Alkali bee), 956 nucleotides long. Lineage: Eukaryota; Metazoa; Arthropoda; Insecta; Hymenoptera; Halictidae. The record is from RefSeq and is a predicted model, not a curated record.